AUGUCUGUCUUCAGUCUUCCCAAGGGGAUUUGUAAAGAAAUUACAGACAGUAUUGCUCAGUUCUGGUGGGGGGAUGAUGAGGAGCAUAAAAGAAUGCAUUGGAUGUCAUGGUGGAAAUUGUGCAUCCCAAAGGGUGAAGGAGGUAUGGGCUUUCGCGACCUAUAUUCGUUUAAUUUAGCUAUGUUGGCAAAACAAUGUUGGAGACUCAUCACUGUCCCAGAUUCCUUGGUAGCAAAAGUGUUGAAGGCCAAAUAUUACCCCAAUGGAAGUAUACUAAGUGCUACCCCAAAAAAUGGGUCAUCCUUCACAUGGCAAAGUAUACUGAAGGGUCUUGAUACAUUCAAAAGAGGAUAUAUUUGGAGAAUUGGUACGGGUGAAGAGGUAAACAUUUGGAAGGACCCUUGGAUCCCU
Molecule: ribosomal RNA, 411 nt
Filed under: Triticum aestivum (bread wheat)
Lineage: Eukaryota; Viridiplantae; Streptophyta; Magnoliopsida; Poales; Poaceae
Description: partial small subunit ribosomal RNA
Source: RNAcentral